CGCCUCUUGCUAAAUAAGAAUAAGAGGUCCCGCCUGCCCUGUGACUAUGUUUAACGGCCGCGGUAUUCUGACCGUGCAAAGGUAGCACAAUCACUUGUCUUUUAAAUAAAGACCCGUAUGAAUGGCAUCACGAGGGCUUAACUGUCUCCUUCCCCUAGUCAAUGAAAUUGAUCCUCCCGUGCAGAAGCGGGAAUAUAAAUAUAAGACGAGAAGACCCUAUGGAGCUUUAGAUUAUUAGCUGAUUUAUGUCAAUAACCACAAAAAGAAUUAAACUAAAUAAUACUCAGCCAAAUGUCUUCGGUUGGGGCGACCACGGGGUAAAAAUUAACCCCCGAGAGGAAAAUUUCCAUGAUCCUAGAACAUCACUUCUAAGAACCAAAACAUUUGACCUUAAGAUCCGGCAAAGCCGAUUAACGAAAUGAGUUACCCUAGGGAUAACAGCGCAAUCCUCUUCAAGAGCCCAUAUCGACAAGAGGGUUUACGACCUCGAUGUUGGAUCAGGACAUCCUAAUGGUGCAGCAGCUAUUAAGGGUUCGUUUGUUCAACGAUUAAAGUCCU
RNAcentral lists this ribosomal RNA (558 nucleotides) under Vanacampus poecilolaemus (Australian long-snouted pipefish). Its description in RNAcentral is "partial 16S ribosomal RNA". It matches the Rfam family "Bacterial large subunit ribosomal RNA", at positions 1816 to 2597 of the family's 2925-position model. The record is from RNAcentral. Lineage: Eukaryota; Metazoa; Chordata; Actinopteri; Syngnathiformes; Syngnathidae.